This 103-nucleotide microRNA precursor is filed under the name Marmota monax (woodchuck). The record is from RNAcentral. Lineage: Eukaryota; Metazoa; Chordata; Mammalia; Rodentia; Sciuridae.
AGUGGGAUAACUGGGUCAAAUGGUGCUUCCAUUGCAAAUUUUCUGAGGAAUCUCCAUACUGCUUCUCAGAUUGGUUGCAUCAAUUUGUAGUCCCACCAGCAAU